Molecule: ribosomal RNA, 486 nt
Filed under: uncultured bacterium
Lineage: Bacteria
Description: partial 16S ribosomal RNA
Rfam family: Bacterial small subunit ribosomal RNA
Source: RNAcentral
GCCGCGAAUUCGCCCUUAGAGUUUGAUCAUGGCUCAGAUUGAACGCUGGCGGCAGGCCUAACACAUGCAAGUCGAGCGGUAACAGGAGAAAGCUUGCUUUCUUGCUGACGAGCGGCGGACGGGUGAGUAAUGUAUGGGGAUCUGCCCGAUAGAGGGGGAUAACUACUGGAAACGGUGGCUAAUACCGCAUAAUGUCUACGGACCAAAGCAGGGGCUCUUCGGACCUUGCACUAUCGGAUGAACCCAUAUGGGAUUAGCUAGUAGGUGGGGUAAAGGCUCACCUAGGCGACGAUCUCUAGCUGGUCUGAGAGGAUGAUCAGCCACACUGGGACUGAGACACGGCCCAGACUCCUACGGGAGGCAGCAGUGGGGAAUAUUGCACAAUGGGCGCAAGCCUGAUGCAGCCAUGCCGCGUGUAUGAAGAAGGCCUUAGGGUUGUAAAGUACUUUCAGCGGGGAGGAAGGUGAUAAGGUUAAUACCCUUGUC